This is a non-coding RNA of Perca flavescens (yellow perch), 541 nucleotides long. Lineage: Eukaryota; Metazoa; Chordata; Actinopteri; Perciformes; Percidae. The record is from the annotation of a RefSeq genome assembly.
UGCUCCAGCUCGGAUACCAGGUUUUAGUAUACGCUAAUUGUUAAUUUGAUGCGAGCACAAUUGCUUAUUUUUCUGAAUUAUCACUGUUGCACAAAUCUUGGUUUUAGUUUCCAGGAUGCCUCCAGCUUUAUACACAUUUGGAGUUUUACUGCUCAUGCUUACAAGAAAAGUGGAGAGUGUUACCUUUGAACAGUCCUCUCCUCAACUUGUGCAGGAAGGGACUGACGAGCUCAGGAUUAACUGCAGUCAUGAUGACAGCAGCCUCCAAGUUAUGCUGUGGUACCAACACCAAACUACACAGAGCAGGCGCUCUAUGAGCCUCAUCGGGUACACAGUCCUCCAGGGUGAUCCAAGCUACGAGGACCAGUUCAAAGACUCCAGAUUCCAGAUUAAGGGAAGAGGCACAUCGAAAGGAUCUCUGCUCAUUCGCACAGUGAAUCUAUCCGACUCAGCUGUGUAUUUCUGCGCUGCCAGCACACAGUGAUGUGGUUUGAUGCCACUGCUUCACUAAAAACCUCCUAGGACUUCUAACAGCUGCUGC